Molecule: ribosomal RNA, 374 nt
Filed under: uncultured eukaryote
Lineage: Eukaryota
Description: partial 18S ribosomal RNA
Rfam family: Eukaryotic small subunit ribosomal RNA
Source: RNAcentral
CAAGAGCGUAUGUAAAAGUUGUUGCAGUUAAAAAGCUCGUAGCUGAACCUUGGGUUUGGUUGGCCGGUCCGCUUUUUUGCGAGUACUGGAUUCAACCGAGCCUUUCCUUCUGGCUAACCAGUCGUUUCGGCGGCUGGCGAACCAGGAUUUUUACUUUGAGAAAAUUAGAGUGUUCAAAGCAGGCAUUAGCUUGAAUAUAUUAGCAUGGAAUAAUAGAAUAGGACGUUAUGGUUCUAUUUUGUUGGUUUCUAGGACCAUCGUAAUGAUUAAUAGGGACGGUCGGGGGCAUCAGUAUUCAGUUGUCAGAGGUGAAAUUCUUGGAUUUACUGAAGACCAACUACUGCGAAAGCAUUUGCCAAGGACGUUUUCAUUAA